GUCUACAGACAUGCUACCCUGAACAUAUCCGAUCCUGUCUGAUCUCAGAAGCUAAGCAGGGGGCCAGCCUGCUUAGUACUUGCAUGGGAGAUCACCUAGGAAGACCAGGUGCUAUAAGCA
Ribosomal RNA from Pteropus vampyrus (large flying fox), 120 nucleotides. The record is from Ensembl. NCBI's taxonomy places the organism in Eukaryota, Metazoa, Chordata, Mammalia, Chiroptera, Pteropodidae.